RNAcentral lists this ribosomal RNA (497 nucleotides) under uncultured bacterium. Its description in RNAcentral is "partial 16S ribosomal RNA". It matches the Rfam family "Bacterial small subunit ribosomal RNA", at positions 28 to 507 of the family's 1533-position model. The record is from RNAcentral.
GAUGAACGCUGGCGGCGUGCCUAAUACAUGCAAGUCGAGCGAACAAACGAGGAGCUUGCUCCUCUGACGUUAGCGGCGGACGGGUGAGUAACACGUGGAUAACCUACCUAUAAGACUGGGAUAACUUCGGGAAACCGGAGCUAAUACCGGAUAAUAUAUUGAACCGCAUGGUUCAAUAGUGAAAGACGGUUUUGCUGUCACUUAUAGAUGGAUCCGCGCCGCAUUAGCUAGUUGGUAAGGUAACGGCUUACCAAGGCGACGAUGCGUAGCCGACCUGAGAGGGUGAUCGGCCACACUGGAACUGAGACACGGUCCAGACUCCUACGGGAGGCAGCAGUAGGGAAUCUUCCGCAAAGGGCGAAAGCCUGACGGAGCAACGCCGCGUGAGUGAUGAAGGUCUUCGGAUCGUAAAACUCUGUUAUUAGGGAAGAACAAAUGUGUAAGUAACUAUGCACGUCUUGACGGUACCUAAUCAGAAAGCCACGGCUAACUACGUG